Molecule: small nuclear RNA, 107 nt
Filed under: Sorex araneus (European shrew)
Lineage: Eukaryota; Metazoa; Chordata; Mammalia; Eulipotyphla; Soricidae
Source: RNAcentral
GUGCUUGCCUCGACAGCACAUAUACUAAAAUUGGAACGAUACAGAGAAGAUUAGCAUGGCCCCUGCAUAAGGAUGACAUACAAAUUCAUGAAGCGUUCCAUAUUUUU